This 492-nucleotide ribosomal RNA is filed under the name uncultured bacterium. Its description in RNAcentral is "partial 16S ribosomal RNA". It matches the Rfam family "Bacterial small subunit ribosomal RNA", at positions 29 to 507 of the family's 1533-position model. The record is from RNAcentral.
AGUGAACGCUGGCGGUAGGCCUAACACAUGCAAGUCGAACGGCAGCACAGUAAGAGCUUGCUCUUACGGGUGGCGAGUGGCGGACGGGUGAGGAAUACAUCGGAAUCUACUUUUUCGUGGGGGAUAACGUAGGGAAACUUACGCUAAUACCGCAUACGACCUACGGGUGAAAGCAGGGGAUCUUCGGACCUUGCGCGAUUGAAUGAGCCGAUGUCGGAUUAGCUAGUUGGCGGGGUAAAGGCCCACCAAGGCGACGAUCCGUAGCUGGUCUGAGAGGAUGAUCAGCCACACUGGAACUGAGACACGGUCCAGACUCCUACGGGAGGCAGCAGUGGGGAAUAUUGGACAAAGGGCGAAAGCCUGAUCCAGCCAUACCGCGUGAGUGAAGAAGGCCUUCGGGUUGUAAAGCCCUGUUGUUGGGAAAGAAAAGCAGCAGGUUAAUACCCCGCUGUUCUGACGGUACCCAAAGAAUAAGCACCGGCUAACUUCGUG